Camelina sativa (false flax) is the source of this 946-nucleotide long non-coding RNA. RefSeq lists it as uncharacterized. Lineage: Eukaryota; Viridiplantae; Streptophyta; Magnoliopsida; Brassicales; Brassicaceae. The record is from RefSeq and is a predicted model, not a curated record.
CUCUAGAUGAUGAAGGUAUAUGGAGGUUCACUUUCUUCCCAUUGAUGUUAAGGACGAUGCUGACUUAUGGACCCAAACGAUGGAAAAUAAAUCCUCUUCUUAUUGCUCUGUGCUACUGAAGUGUUAGGGAUUUUGACCAAGACCAUGGAAUACCCCUUUUCUUGCUCUGCGCCAUAAUUGUCUCAUGCCAAAGGCCGCAGUAAUCAUAAAAAUGUAUAAAGGGAAACGAGUGUUAAAUACUUGGCUAGCACUAGCAAUAUGAUUCAUCAAAAUAAAAGCCAUCACAAGGAAAAAGCUAAAUAAUGGAAAAUUAAGACAUGGAAGCCAAUUAUUGUUUCAAAAUCAGCAAGGACUUCACCCCAUAGCACCAGCUUUUGCCUGCACCACAAAAAAGUUUCCCAAAUCUCUGCCAUAAUUCAAGGGGCUUCAUCUUCAAACAAUUUCAUUGACUAAUCAUAAUGCAGAGACAUCUUCAAUAGCAGCUUCAACGGAAGUUUCUCAAGUGGAGAAUCAAAAUGUAGAACUCUGUGAUUACUUUGAGGAUUAUGAAAGUUUAGACUACCUGGUAUUUAUACUUUAGAGGGACACUGUUUGAUGUUUGUCCGAGUCCGAUGGCGACGAGAAAGACAGAGAGAGAGAGAGAGAGAGAGAGAGAGAGAGAGAGAGAGAGAUGGAGAGAGCAAACAGACCUGAAGGUGCUACUGAAGUUGGAACUCGACAAUGCACCAGAAUUCAAUGUGUUGAUUCUUUUCACUGCAGGGAAACGAGUGUUAAUAACGUAGCUAGGUAUCAAAGGCAUCACAAGGCAAAAGCUAGAUGAUUUGUUAUGACCAAAUCUUCGUCUUCUCUGUAAGUAAUCACAACACAAAGACCUGUUUUCCAAAAUUAAAAAUUGCGUAGUAAUCUCUCAGUUCAAGAAAUUUCAUCUUUCAUAUAGAUAUAUAUG